This is a non-coding RNA of Bradyrhizobiaceae bacterium SG-6C, 54 nucleotides long. Lineage: Bacteria; Pseudomonadati; Pseudomonadota; Alphaproteobacteria; Hyphomicrobiales; Nitrobacteraceae. The record is from Rfam.
CGACCAGGCCGGGCCCCUCUGGCAGCGUUCAAGCUGCGAUGUCGGACUGGAAUU